RNAcentral lists this ribosomal RNA (274 nucleotides) under uncultured bacterium. RNAcentral describes it as "partial 16S ribosomal RNA". It matches the Rfam family "Bacterial small subunit ribosomal RNA", at positions 523 to 796 of the family's 1533-position model. The record is from RNAcentral.
AUACGGGGGGAGCAAGCGUUGUCCGGAAUCACUGGGCGUAAAGGGCAUGUAGGCGGAUUGUUAAGUCAGAAGUGAAAUCUACUCGCUUAACGAGUGAACUGCUUUUGAUACUGGCAGUCUUGAGUACUGGAGAGGUGAGCGGAAUUCCAGGUGUAGCGGUGAAAUGUGUAGAUAUCUGGAAGAACACCGGUGGCGAAGGCUGCUCUCUGGCCAGUCACUGACGCUGAAAUGCGAAAGCGUGGGGAGCGAACAGGAUUAGAAACCCCGGUAGUCC